Prionailurus viverrinus (fishing cat) is the source of this 2713-nucleotide RNA transcript. It is a transcript of the gene named caspase recruitment domain family member 8, with no coding region annotated. Lineage: Eukaryota; Metazoa; Chordata; Mammalia; Carnivora; Felidae. The record is from RefSeq and is a predicted model, not a curated record. The transcript is spliced from 13 exons.
UCUCCUCUGACUCAGCCUCAGCCUCUUCCCUUUGGGGUAUAGUCUUUCCCCAGAUGAACACAACCUGGGGCAGCCCGGGGAUGUCUGAGCCACCAGCUCUGCCUUCUCCUUUCUGUGCUCUGGGGAAGCCGAGACUUAGGGUUAAUAGAGACGUAGCAGAGAGGUAAACACACCGGCUGAUAAAAUGGAAAAAUAUACAUCUAAGAAAAGGAUACGCAUAUGUAAGAGAUGCCCUCUGACAUGGUUGUGUGUGUGCAUCAGUGAUGCAGACAAAGUGGAAAAGAGCGCCUACCACUCAGAGAACUUCUACCUGUCACCGUGGAGGAUGUCCGCCCGGUCAAAGCAAAAACAAAAACAGAGCUCUACCCCUUCUCAGGACCGAUGCAAAAUUGACUUUCUCAUCGGAUAUGAUGACGUAUCUCACCCCCACUCUUCGGCUGCGCAGAUACAGGGUGACCAGUUUUCUACUUCCUCAGAAAGUGGAGGAUAUUGUGAAGUGUUGAUAUCAAAGCCACCACCGCACAUCACUGCUCUUGGAACGGAGUCCUGUGAGGAAGAGAUUUCCUGUUCUCCAUUCAGAAGCGAAUCUGAAGACCAGAAAUCUUCACAGAGUCAAGAAUCAGAAGAUACUUGCUGGGAAGAGAAGACAGUAGUGCCCCACCUGGUUGCUAAACUCUGUUCUGGGACUGAACCGGUUUGUAAAAGUAAUCAGUUUCUGGGACCUGAAGGAAAUGUGGAUAUUGAAUUGAUUGAUAAGAGUGCAAACAGAUACCGUGUCCACUUCCCCGUGGCCGGCUUCUAUCUGUGGCCAGCAACAGGCCUUGGCUUCCUGGUAACAGCAGCAGUGACCGUGGUGAUUACGUUCGAUUCUUGGAGUCAGCACCUGGACCUGAAGUUACAGCAUCACGAGAAAUGGAUGGUGGCCGGCCCUUUAUUUGACAUCUCUGUGGAGCCUGAGGGGGUCAUCACUGAAAUCCACCUCCCCCACGUCAUCUCCCUCCCAGCAAAUGAGGUCGAUAUCUCUUGGUUCCAAGUUGCCCAUUUUAAGGAUGAAGGGAUGGUCCUGGAGCCGCCAGCCCGAGUGGAGCCUUUCUAUGCCAUCCUGGAAAACCCUAGCUUCUCUCUGAUGGGGAUCCUGCUGAGACUCGCCAGAGGGACCUGUCUUUCGGUCCCCAUCACAUCCACGGCACUAAUCUAUUAUCACUUCUACCACGAAGCUGUGAAAUUUCACUUGUAUCUUAUCCCCAGUGACUACUUGCUAACGAAGUCAAUAGAUGAGGAGGAAGCUAAAUUUCAAGGUGUGCGUCUGCAGACCUCGCCCCCAGUGGACCCACUGAAUUUUGGUUCCCGUUAUAUUGUGUCUUGUUCGCCUCCCCUGGAAAUAAUACCCAAGGAGUUGAAAUUAUCCUACAGGAACCGUGGAGAAAUCCAGGUCUUCUCUAAAGUCUAUGCUGGGAGGAUGGAGGAACCAAUCAUGUUUGAAAUUACUGAAAAAACACACGAGACUUUGAUCUGGUACACUUUGGUGAAGCCAGAGGAGCUCCAGUUUGGUGCUACAUCGGCCCCUCCUCCCCUCCCAGAUCAUCCAGGAGGAGAAGGAGAGCAUUUUCUGGUGUCUCUCGGGGAGGAGAAGGCUCCUCGGGUAUCGCAUUGGCUUGACAUGGCAACAGACCCAUCCUGGCCAGCGGGUGUUGUCAGGAGGUCCAGAGAGGCAGACUAGCUGGAGAAAAUCAGGCCCCACACCUGGAGUUGCAACUGGGUUCAAACUCAGCUACAGAUCUUGGUGAAGAAUCAGCUCUUGAGCAAGAGAUAUCUGUCACCUGUCGUCUGAAGGAUGAAACUGACACUCAUUCACUCUGUCUAGAAGACCCUUCAGAAGCUUCUGCCGGCCCACAUCUUGAGUCAAAUCUUUAUCCUGGCCACCAUGUGUCAUGAAUCAUGACACCUCGUUACCCCUCUUUCCCUUUUGGCCUGGUGGCAUCUUGCACUUCAUACCCAAAUCCUUUUCCUUCCGGAGCACCUGGCUGGCUCAGUUGGUUGAGCAUCCGACUUCGGCUCGGGUCACGAUCUCACGGUUCAUGAGUUCCAGCCCCACAUCGGGCUCACUGCUGUCAGCCCAGAGCCAGCUUCGCAUCCUCUGGCCCUACCCUGCUUGCUCUCUCUCUCUCUUCCAAAAAUAAAUAAACAUUAAAGAAGUCCUACAAAUCCUUCAAAUCCUCCUUUGAUACUAAUUCUUCCGUGAAGACUUUGCUUCAGAGUCUAGUCAUCCCCUCCUUUGUGACCUGAAGGCUGUGGUGACAUUUGUUCCUCAUGGGACUAUGGUGAUAAAAAUGAUCUUGAUGACAAACGCAGCUUAUCGAAGGCCGGUAGCAUGCUAAAUAAUCAGGGUACCUGUAUUUGUGCUUCAUAUCGUCCACUUCUGUUUAGUCCUGUCAAUAAACCGUGGCUGGCUUCCCCAGACAAUCACAGAGGAGCGUCAGAGCGGGAACAUGGUAGUGGCCGUGAAGUAACAAUGUUGUAUGCAGUGUAGCCUGAGACAGACACGCUCUCUGCACGCAUGGGGUUUCUAUUCCAGCAGGUGAAAACAAUGAAGCCCGUUCCACACUGCUUAUCAAAGUAUACUCGUGGGGCGUGUUGCCAAGGAAAACUGGAGGGAUUUAGAAGAGGAUAACAUGAGGAGCUUGGAUCUAGCGUUGAGGGAGUUGAAAACGUC